GACGAACGCUGGCGGCGUGCUUAACACAUGCAAGUCGAACGGAAAGGCCCUGCUUUUGUGGGGUGCUCGAGUGGCGAACGGGUGAGUAACACGUGAGUAACCUGCCCUUGACUUUGGGAUAACUUCAGGAAACUGUGGCUAAUACCGGAUAGGAGCUCCUGCUGCAUGGUGGGGGUUGGAAAGUUUCGGCGGUUGGGGAUGGACUCGCGGCUUAUCAGCUUGUUGGUGGGGUAGUGGCUUACCAAGGCUUUGACGGGUAGCCGGCCUGAGAGGGUGACCGGCCACAUUGGGACUGAGAUGCGGCCCAGACUCCUACGGGAGGCAGCAGUGGGGAAUAGUGCACAAUGGGCGGAAGCCUGAUGCAGCAACGCCGCGUGCGGGAUGACGGCCUUCGGGUUGUAAACCGCUUUCGCCUGUGACGAAGCGUGAGUGACGGUAAUGGGUAAAGAAGCACCGGCUAACUACGUG
RNAcentral lists this ribosomal RNA (468 nucleotides) under uncultured bacterium. RNAcentral describes it as "partial 16S ribosomal RNA". It matches the Rfam family "Bacterial small subunit ribosomal RNA", at positions 28 to 507 of the family's 1533-position model. The record is from RNAcentral.